This 892-nucleotide ribosomal RNA is filed under the name uncultured bacterium. RNAcentral's name for it is "bacterial SSU rRNA". It matches the Rfam family "Bacterial small subunit ribosomal RNA", at positions 505 to 1398 of the family's 1533-position model. The record is from RNAcentral.
GUGUCAGCAGCCGCGGUAAUACGAAGGGACCUAGCGUAGUUCGGAAUUACUGGGCUUAAAGAGUUCGUAGGUGGUUGAAAAAGUUAGUGGUGAAAUCCCAGAGCUUAACUCUGGAACUGCCAUUAAAACUUUUCAGCUAGAGUAUGAUAGAGGAAAGCAGAAUUUCUAGUGUAGAGGUGAAAUUCGUAGAUAUUAGAAAGAAUACCGAUUGCGAAGGCAGCUUUCUGGAUCAUUACUGACACUGAGGAACGAAAGCAUGGGUAGCGAAGAGGAUUAGAUACCCUCGUAGUCCAUGCCGUAAACGAUGUGUGUUAGACGUUGGAAAUUUAUUUUCAGUGUCGCAGCGAAAGCGAUAAACACACCGCCUGGGGAGUACGACCGCAAGGUUAAAACUCAAAUGAAUUGACGGGGACCCGCACAAGUAGUGGAGCAUGUGGUUUAAUUCGAAGAUACGCGCAGAACCUUACCAACACUUGACAUGUUCGUCGCGACUCUAAGAGAUUAGAGUUUUCGGUUCGGCCGGACGAAACACAGGUGCUGCAUGGCUGUCGUCAGCUCGUGUCAUGAGAUGUUGGGUUAAGUCCCGCAACGAGCGCAACCCUCACUUUUAGUUGCCAUCAUUUAGUUGGGCACUCUGAAAGAACUGCCAGUGAUAAGCUGGAGGAAGGUGGGGAUGACGUCAAGUCCUCAUGGCCCUUACGUGUUGGGCUACACACGUGCUACAAUGGUAUCUACAACAGGAAGCAAAACUGCGAAGUUAAGCAAAUCCUAAAAAGAUACCUCAGUUCGGAUUGCACUCUGCAACUCGAGUGCAUGAAGCUGGAAUUACUAGUAAUCGUGGAUCAGCGUGCCACGGUGAAUGCGUUCCCGGGUCUUGCACACACCGCCCGUC